RNAcentral lists this ribosomal RNA (268 nucleotides) under Salmonella enterica. RNAcentral's name for it is "partial 23S ribosomal RNA". It matches the Rfam family "Bacterial large subunit ribosomal RNA", at positions 526 to 796 of the family's 2925-position model. The record is from RNAcentral. Lineage: Bacteria; Pseudomonadati; Pseudomonadota; Gammaproteobacteria; Enterobacterales; Enterobacteriaceae.
CCGGCGAGGGGAGUGAAAAAGAACCUGAAACCGUGUACGUACAAGCAGUGGGAGCACCCUUUGGGGUGUGACUGCGUACCUUUUGUAUAAUGGGUCAGCGACUUAUAUUCUGUAGCAAGGUUAACCGAAUAGGGGAGCCGGAGGGAAACCGAGUCUUAACCGGGCGUUAAGUUGCAGGGUAUAGACCCGAAACCCGGUGAUCUAGCCAUGGGCAGGUUGAAGGUUGGGUAACACUAACUGGAGGACCGAACCGACUAAUGUUGAAAAA